AGAGUUUGAUCCUGGCUCAGAACGAACGCUGGCGGCAGGCUUAACACAUGCAAGUCGAACGGGCUCUUCGGAGCUAGUGGCAGACGGGUGAGUAACGCGUGGGAACCUACCUAUAAGUACGGAACAACACAGAGAAAUUUGUGCUAAUACCGUAUGUGGUCUUCGGAUUAAAGAUUUAUCGCUUAUAGAUGGGCCCGCGUUAGAUUAGCUAGUUGGUGAGGUAAUGGCUCACCAAGGCGACGAUCUAUAGCUGGUCUGAGAGGAUGAUCAGCCACACUGGGACUGAGACACGGCCCAGACUCCUACGGGAGGCAGCAGUGAGGAAUAUUGGACAAUGGGGGCAACCCUGAUCCAGCCAUGCCGCGUGAGUGAUGACGGCCUUAGGGUUGUAAAGCUCUUUCGCUAGGGAAGAUAAUGACGGUACCUAGUAAAGAAGCCCCGGCUAACUUCGUGCCAGCAGCCGCGGUAAUACGAAGGGGGCUAGCGUUGUUCGGAAUCACUGGGCGUAAAGCGCGCGUAGGCGGACUUUUAAGUCAGGGGUGAAAUCCCGGGGCUCAACCUCGGAACUGCCUUUGAUACUGGAAGUCUUGAG
RNAcentral lists this ribosomal RNA (592 nucleotides) under uncultured Alphaproteobacteria bacterium. Its description in RNAcentral is "bacterial SSU rRNA". It matches the Rfam family "Bacterial small subunit ribosomal RNA", at positions 8 to 646 of the family's 1533-position model. The record is from RNAcentral. Lineage: Bacteria; Pseudomonadati; Pseudomonadota; Alphaproteobacteria.